AUUUUCUCUCUUACUGAAAGGAAAAACACAGCGAUUUUUUCAAUUGUAAAUUUUGCAAGUUUUCUUUUUCAACUUAAGAAGAAAACGAUGUAUGCGACUUCAACAUCAGUUCAGAAAAGUAGGUUUCGUCUCCCUGCACAGAUUCCAGAGGAUCAACUCGGAGUAGAUGCAGGCAGUCUUCUCAAUUCUUAACUAAUUGCUCCUAAAUUCACAAAAGUUUACAAAUAUUGAAGCCCAAGUAUUAAUUUUGCCUUUUCUUGUUAUUCUGCGACAAGAUUAUUGGUGAUUAAUCGAAUAAUGAAAAUAUUUUGUUGCAGUUGUUAUCUUCCAGAGAAAAUUGGAAGAUUCUAAGGUCCAAUGUUUGAAACAAAAUUAAAUUUCAAUAUUUGGCUGUUCCAUGUUGUUGUAAGAUUGGAAAAUGUUAAGAUGAAAUUAAAA
Molecule: unclassified non-coding RNA, 438 nt
Filed under: Hevea brasiliensis (rubber tree)
Lineage: Eukaryota; Viridiplantae; Streptophyta; Magnoliopsida; Malpighiales; Euphorbiaceae
Source: RNAcentral